Molecule: non-coding RNA, 148 nt
Filed under: Nomascus leucogenys (northern white-cheeked gibbon)
Lineage: Eukaryota; Metazoa; Chordata; Mammalia; Primates; Hylobatidae
Source: Rfam by way of RNAcentral
GCUGGGUGUGGUGGAGCACACCUGUAAUCCCAGCUGCUUGGGAGGCUGAGGCAGGAGAAUUGCUUGAAAUCGGGAGGCAGAGGUUGCAGUGAGCCAAGAUGGCACCACUGCACCCCAGCCUAGGUGACAGAGCGAGAUUCUGUCUCCA